AACGAACGCUGGCGGCAUGCCUAACACAUGCAAGUCGAACGAGACCAUCGGAUCUACCGGCGCUUGGGUGCGUCACGCGUGGGAACCUGCCCUUAGGUUCGGAAUACUACUCCGAAAGGGGGGCUAAUACCGGAUAAUUUCCUCGGAUAACAGAUGCAUCCCGCUUGGAUGGGCACGCGUUGGUUUAGCUGGUUGGUAGGGUAUAAGCCUACCAAGGCGACGCUCGAUAGCUGGUCGGAGAGGCAGGUCAGCCACACUGGGACUGAGACACGGCGCAGACUCCUACGGGAGGCAGCAGUGGGGGAUAUAGGACUAUGGGGGGAAGCAUGAACCAGCAAGGGCGCGUGAGUGAUGAAGGUCUUAGGGUAGAAAAGCUCGUUUACCCGGGAUGAUAAUGACAGUACCGAGAGAAUAAGCACCGGCUAACUCCGUG
RNAcentral lists this ribosomal RNA (433 nucleotides) under uncultured bacterium. RNAcentral's name for it is "partial 16S ribosomal RNA". It matches the Rfam family "Bacterial small subunit ribosomal RNA", at positions 29 to 507 of the family's 1533-position model. The record is from RNAcentral.